RNAcentral lists this long non-coding RNA (1627 nucleotides) under Equus caballus (horse). Its description in RNAcentral is "lncRNA (ENSECAG00000060313.1)". The record is from RNAcentral. Lineage: Eukaryota; Metazoa; Chordata; Mammalia; Perissodactyla; Equidae.
UUCUAUCACUUUGACUUAAGUUCAUAUUUUGGAAAUCUUAAUAAGGUCCUCACAUGUGGAAGGAAGAUUUAAACUGACUUCAAGAUAGAAAUAGCGUAUUUAAGCACAUAAAACUUCAGCAACUAAUUUUUCAAGUUAAAACCAUUGUCAAAUAUGUUCUAUUAAGGAUAGAGAAAUCACCCUAAAAUGUGCUAUGAAGACAGUUUCAACGCAACAUAGAAAGUGGGCAGCUCCUACUGUCUACAUACGUGAGAUGAAUUUAAUUUGAUCAUGAAAAUUAUAAAAGUGCUAAGGAUUGUGUCGAGCCUGAAACAAUUGGGUGCACCCAUGCCUGGGGCUGGCCUCACUUGGCUGCAAUCUUGAGAGAGCUAACAACAGCCUUGAAGGCCAGAGGCCUACAGGAAUUGUAAACCCCUGAGCCUAGCAACCAGUCAUGCAGGGGGCCUAAUCAUUUAACAGAAAAACUGCAAUAGGAAUGUGCUAUUAGACCUUUUAGCCAAAUGUGCCAGGUCUCCCCAAGCCUGAUAAAGUGACUGAAGUGUCCAUAGAAGCCACAUGCAGCUGAGCAUUACAAACAACUGGCCAGGGAGGCAGCCUACCAAACCUGAGCACCUGCAGCGAGAGCAACCCUGCCACAAAAGAAGAUCACAGUAGCCCACAGAGGGGAUACUCCUAGAACAUUUGAAACUGGUGAUGAGAAGGAAGCACACUGCUGGGCCUCAUAAGGCAUCUCUUACAUAAGGCCACCUCUCCAAUAUCAGGAGAUGUAGCUGACCUACCUUAUACAUAGAAAUAAGCACAGAGAAAGAGGUAAAAUGAGGAGACAAGGGAAUAGUUUCCAAAUAAGGGAACAGGACAAAACCCCAGAAAAAGAAUUAAGUGAAACAGAAAUAAACAAUCUACCUGACAAAGAGUUCAAGCAAAAAGUCAUAAGGAUGCUCAGUGAUCUUGGGAGAAGAAUGGAUGAACUCUGUGAGAAUUUCAAUAAAGAAUUAGAAAAUAUGAAAAAGAACCAGGGGCCCAGCCCUGUGGCCGAGUGGUUAAGUUUGUGCACUCUGCUUCAGCAGCCCAGUGUUUCACUGGUUCAGAUCCUCAGUGCGGACAUGGCAUCGCUCAUCAAGUCAUGCUGAGGCAGCAUCACAACCAGAGGCACUCACAACUAGAAUAUGCAACUAUGUACUGGGGGACUUUGGGGAGAAGAAGAAAAAGAGAAUAUUGGCAACAGAUUUUUUUAAAGAUUGGCACCUGAACCAAACAAAAAGAACCAAUCUGAAAUGAAGAAUACAAUACUGGAAAUGAAAAAUUCACUAGAGAGAAUCAAUAGCAGAGCAGAUGAUACAGAAGAACAGAUUAGUGAGCUGGAUGAAAGACAAGAGGAAAUCACCCAGGCUGAACAGAUAAAAGAAAAAAUAAUUGAAAAUAUGGGGACAGUCUAAGGGACCUCUGGGACAACAUCAAGCACACUAACAUUCAUAUUAUAGGUAUCCCAGAAGGAGAAGAGAGAGACAAAGGGCCAGAGAAUCUAAUUGAAGAAAUAAUAGCCAAGAACUUUCUUAACCUAAGGAAGGAAACAGACAUCCUAGUACAGGAACUACAGAGAGCACCAAACAAGAUAAACCCAAAGAGG